GACGUAGGGCGCAAGCGUUAAUCGGAAUUACUGGGCGUAAAGCGUGCGCCGGCGGUUAUGCAAGACAGAUGUGAAAUCCCCGGGCUCAACCUGGGAACUGCAUUUGUGACUGCAUAGCUAGAGUGCGGCAGAGGGAGAUGGAAUUCCGCGUGUAGCAGUGAAAUGCGUAGAUAUGCGGAGGAACACCGAUGGCGAAGGCAAUCUCCUGGGCUUGCACUGACGCUCAUGCACGAAAGCGUGGGGAGCAAACAGG
RNAcentral lists this ribosomal RNA (253 nucleotides) under uncultured bacterium. RNAcentral's name for it is "partial 16S ribosomal RNA". It matches the Rfam family "Bacterial small subunit ribosomal RNA", at positions 524 to 776 of the family's 1533-position model. The record is from RNAcentral.